AAGAAAGAAAACAAAAUUGUGAUGUUUCUGAUUGGUGGUCCAAACUUUCCUGAGAACCACUGCAUUGAACAAGGAGAUGAUCUGAGACAGGUGAAACCAGUGGAAUGAAUGUUUAAGAAACCUGCAAGCUUGGGAAAAAAGGCCAGCAACUUGGAAAGAUUAAUCAAAAGGAUAUUUGGGAAGCUUAUCACCUCCACCUCUUGUUUGGUUUGUUUGUUUGUUUGUUUGUUUGUUUGUUUGUUUGUUUUUGAGACAGAGUCUCGCUCUCUCGCCCAGGCUUGAGUGCAGUAACAUGAUCUAGGCUCACUGCAGCCUCUGCCUCCCGGGUUCAAGGAUUCUCCUGCCUCAGCCUCCAGAGUAGCUGGGACUACAGGCACAUGCCACUGUGCCAGACUAAUUUUUGUAUUUUUCUUUUCUUUUUUAGUAGAGACAGGGUUUCACCAUGUUGGACAAGCUGGUCUCAAACUCUUGACCUCAGGUGAUCUGCCCGCCUUGGCCUCCCAAAGUGCUAGAAUUACAGGCAUGAGCCACCAAGCCCAGCCUCUCCUCCACCUCGUAAGUGUUUUCAAAGUAAAGCCAGAAUCCUCAACUGCUUCUGCCCCCAUGAAAUCAUUACCCUUCAAUGAGCCAAUUCAAAUGCUGCUUCUUUUGUGAAGCUUUCUGCCACCACCCUUCCCUCCCAGAAUGUUGUACUUUCCCUGAUCUGCUUCAUAACACCUCCUUCCAAGCACACAUAGGAUUUCACGCAUCCUCUAGUAGCUAGGUGGUACAGGUCUGAUUUCCCAUCAGACUGUGAGCUUUUUGAGGGCAUUCAUAAUGACCUUCUUUUCUGUAGUGCCUACAAUUACAGCAGAAAAGCAGCACUCAAAAUGUUUGUUGAAGCUCUCCAGUGAACUGGGGUUCUAAUUAUUGAGUGAAGAACUUGACACUAAGUGGCUGUUGCCUGCAUUAUCCCAACCCAUCUCUGCAGAGAGAUGGGAGCAGCAGAGGGCGCUGUCACUGCAGGUGUAGGGGCAUUUUUCCUCUCCAUGACAUGCCAGAUGGCCCCCCGGGGCCACAGCUCCACCGUAAGAGUCCCCAAUUUUGUUUUGUUUUUUUACAGUGAGGGUGUUCUAGAGGAAAGGGCUCAACGAAUCCAAUUGCAAUAGCUCCAGUUUGUGAUAAAGAUGACAAUUUUUUUUUAUUUGAGACAGAGUCUGGUUCUGUUGCCCAGGCUGGAGUGCAGUGGCACAGUGUUGACUCACUGCCACCUCCACCCCCGGGGAUUCAAGCAAUUAUCGUGUCUCAGCCUCCCGAGUAGCUGGGAUUACAGACCCCAACCUCCAGCUAACUUUUGUAUUUUCACCAUGUUGGCAAGGCUGGUUUUGAACCCCUGAUCUCAAGUCAUCCUCCUGCCUCAGCCUCUCAAAGUGCUGGGAUUACAGGCAUGAGCCACGGUGCCUGGGCUGACAAAUAUUUAUUAUUGAGUUUGUGGAACCCAGAAUGAUCUAGGGCCUCAGUGGCCACUGAACCCUGGGGCACACUUGAACAAAAAUAUGGGCUUCUCAGCCACUAUGCCUUGACAUCCUCUCUAAUCAGAAGUUUGUGUAAUAAGUGCAAAAGACAAUAUUCACAGUGACAAUGAUACUGUGAACUGCCAUAGGGAGAGUAGACAUGACUGUGGUGACAAUGCAGCGGCAGCAGGACCCUGUCCUCUCAUAAGUGGGCAUCCUUUCCCCAUGUGAACACCACAUAGCAGAAACGCCCAUCUUCCAAAGCCCUUUUAUCAUGUUAUGAAUUAUUUACACUUCCAUAUAUUUCAGUUAAAGAGUGGUAAUCAGAUCUGUAUGGAUGCCACUUGGGUCAUUUGUCAUUUCACUUGAAGGCAAAGAAAUGUUUUUAACUGGGAUAAGAUUAGCUGCCGAGGUGGAGCUGAUAUCUGAGCGAGGCUCUCGAGGACACAUUCUGGAUAGAUCUCCAUAUGGGAGUUGGAUGACUGCCACCAGCCAGUCUUGGCAGUCCCCAGAAUUCUUCUGAAGUGGACAGUGGAAGAAGUGAAACAUUUGCCUGGCAGCUGGCAUCAAUGCAGUCUCUCUCUGGACAUGCAGAAGAAAAGGUUCAAAAGGAACUGAACCCAAACCAGUCUUUAUUUGAUUUUAGAUGGAAUUAAAACAUUUUUGUGGGUCUCGACAAGUAUUGCCAGCACUGCACCUGCCACCCUGAUAGUUAUUAAUUACCAAUUUACUUUGUGUGUGUGAGAGACGGGUCUCGCUCUGUCACCCAGGCUGGAGUGCAGUGGUGCGAUUCCGGCUCACUGCAACCUCCACCUCCCGGGCUCAAGCGAUUCUGCCACCUCAGCCUCUGAAGUAGCUGGGACUGCAGAUGUGCGCCACCAUGCCCAGCUAAUUUUUGUACUUUUUGUAGAGACGAGGUUACGCCAUGUUGGCCAGGCUGGUCUCCAACUCCUGAACUCAACCUAUCCUCUCACUGCAGCCUCUCAAGGUGGUGGGAUUACAGGCAUGAGCCACUACACCCCACCUGUUAAUUGCGUCUUUAUCUCAGUAGGUUGAAGUAUAUUUAUACAGCCUCUGCUCUGUGUCAAGUACUGAGCUGAGCUCAGCAGUUGCAAUGGCAGGAACACAGACCCAGCCCUAUUCCUUAUAUGGCUGACUCUCUAGUGGGAAAUAUGGACAUUAAACAAACGACCACCUAAAUAUAACACUGCAAACUGGAGUUCAUGGCAUGAACCAUGGAAUGCUAUCAAAGCACUGGGAUCCCAAUCUAAUCUGGGCAUCAGAGAAAGCUUCCCUGAGGAAUUAAAAUUUGGAUGAGGUCUCAAUAAUUAGUUGAUGAAUUAGGCAAACAGUGGGAGCAAGGAUGUUCCAGGCAGAGGCCAACUACAUGGGUCAGGUGCACAGGACAUAAACCGAGCCAUCAAGAAGCUUCCAAUGUGAAAAGAGAAUAAACCCAUAGAGACAAGCAAUGAAGUGCUGCCAUGAGACAGAUGUGUGGAGCAUUUGAACAAUGGGAAAGUGCUGCUAGGAGAGAGGUGGUGUUCAAUUCAAUGAAAGCAAUGUAGGAUGAGAUCUGUAAGGAAGACUAGAUAAGCCAAGAGGCAUGCAGAGGAUCUUAUCCAUUUUAGAGCCCUGGGGGCUAUUUACUGGAGUAGCUGAAGAUAGCACCGUGGACACAGGCUGAAAAGGAAGGAAUUGCUAUGAGCUCCAUGUGAGGCAUCAUAGAUGAGACCUAUGGAGCUAUCCAAGAUCAUAUCCUGACACAGUGGUCAAAAUAAAGAAGCAAGUGUGAGCAGUGGUGAGGUGAUGGCUCAUUUAAAGAAAAGCCAUGCCCUGCAGACUGGUCCCAAGCUGGAGACCCCUUUCUCUAAUUGUCUGAAGAAUCCCUUUGGCAGGCUGUGUAAUACGCAUGACUCCAAUCUCUUGAAGUCUCUAGAUGGAGGCCACAUCCCAUUGCCUUUACAAAACAUCCUCUUUAUCCAUGGAUGUUGAUACUUGAGAACUUAACAGAAAGAACUUCAUUCCUUCUGUGAAGAUCAGUGAAGCUCAUAUUAUUAUCUGACUACAGAACUGCUCAAUGUUCAUCCCAAAAAAGUAAGACUCCCUUAAAUAUCUGCAUAAGAUUCAUUUUCUGUGUUUUAUUUUCCUAAUUUUCUUCAAAGAAGAUGUGUUACUUUUGUUAAUAAAAUAUUAAAAAUGUAAACCAUGGAAUCAGGGAAGGAAAAUGGCAGAUAGGAGGCAGGACUAAAUUACAGCUGACACUCAGAGGGACAGAGCAGCAUGUGGAGACUCACGUUGUGAAUUUUUGCUCCAGAACUACUACUGCAGGAUUAUACCAGGAAAGCCAAGAGAAUCCACAGACCCUCUGAAGGAAGUGGAUAGCUCCUGCAGGACCCAGGAGACAGCCCAAAUACUACACAGCAAGAAGGUGCAAUCUAUGAACCAGAAAGUGGGCCCUCACCAGACACUGAAUCAGCUGUUUGUGUCUAGUGUCUUGACCUUGGACUUCCCAGCCACCAGAACUGCCAGAAAUAAAUUUCUAUUUUUUAUUAGUUAAAAAAAAGUAAGCCAUGUAGAUUAUUCAUUAACAUAUGAAGCAAAAUGGAAUCAUAAAAAUGAAACAUUCAUUACAAUUUUUUGGAAACUGCUAUUUGUUUUGUUUUGUUUUUGAGACUAAGCCUCGCUGUGUUGCUCAGGCUGGAGUGCACUGGCUGUUCACAGAUGUGACCAUGGCACGCUGCAUCUCAAACUCCUGGCCUCAAGUGAUCCUCCUGCCUCAGUCUCCUGAAGAGUUGGGACUACAGGGGUGUACCACCACACCCAGCCUUGUUUGUUUUUGAAGAUAAGAUCCAUAUCUGAAUUUUUUAAAUCAGUGACUGAGCAACAUAAAACAUGAGGAUUUCCCAGAUUGCCCUUCUUUUGUUGAAAAUAUUAAAAAGUGAUCUUAAAUGUAUGGAUACAUAUAAAACACUAAGAUUUCUCCAUUUGGUUUAUGUACUUCAUAAUAGCUUGUGACAUGCUCAAAAUAACAUGAUUUUUUUCAAUUAUUUCUUUUGCUCUUUUAAAAAUCACAUUUUAUUGAAUUUAUUCAUUCAUUCAUUUUGAACACCUAACAUAUACUAACAAAUGUGCCAAGUCCAGAAGAUUCAAGGCUGAAUCAGAGGACAUCCUUGACUUUAAAAAGCUGACAGACUAGAAGAGCCAAGCCUACAUGAAAAUAAAUAAAUGCAAUACGGACCAAAAGCACAAUUAUCGAAAUAUGUGCAGGGUAGAGGUGCUGAGCAGUGGGAAGAUACAGAAUAACUAAUGCCUGUUAGCUGCUUCUGUAUGUAUGCCAGGUAGUGUUCUAAGUGCUUUACUUACAUAUAUUAGCUCAUCGCCAACCUGUGAUCGUUUCCAUUAUCAUAUUGUUACACUCAUUUUAUAGAUGAGGGACUGAGACAAAGAGUGGUUGCCUAGCUUGCCCAAAGUCACUCAGCUAUACUGAGUGGCAGAACCAGGAUUUAAAUAAUAUGAACUCUGUGCUCUCAACCUCUACACAUUUGCUGUCCAGACUGUCCAGCAGACUGUCUAGGAAGAAAUGCAAAGCACUUUAAGCAGAGAGGGCAGCUUGGGCAAGGGCACUAGUGCAGGAAAGACACAAGCACCUUGUGGAGUCAAGCAGAUAGGAUACCAGAAGGCUGAGGAAUAUGCCACAUCAUAGGGAGGCUUGGAUCAGUUUUGGUAGACAAUGAGAGGACAUUGAAGGAUUUUAGUCAGAGGAGUGAUGGGGCAGAUCUGUUUCUUAAAAAGAUUAUUUUGACUGUGUUAGGGAGGAUGUGCUGCAGAGGAUCUGGAUGCAGGUGGGGAAGGGAGGAUGUGUUGCAGGAGGAUGUGUUGCAGAGGGAGGAUGUGCUGCAGAGGGUCUGGAUGCAGGUGGGGGAACCCCCUUUAGAGACGACUUCUCCCAGGUAAGAAAAGGCUGUAGCAGUGGAGUUGGAGAGAGAAGAAUGGACCAGAGCUAUUUUAAGGAAGACUAGGCCAGUGCUGGUUUUGAUUAGUGGAUGUCAAACUUAGUGGUCGUUUGGUAUUUUUACACGAAACCUUCAACAGAAUCAACAGUGUGCUUCAUGAAGGCAGAGCCCAGAUUUGUUUUUCUCGCCGUUGUACUCCCAAGACUUGGUAAUGUGCUCAGGAAAUGCUUAUUGAUUGAAUGAGUUAAUGAAUAAGUGAAUAAACCAAGAAGUAAAUAAAAAAAAGAAUGAAUCAAAGAAAUGACUCAGUAUUGGAUUAGACCAAGUGCAUAAGAGAAGAAGUUAAUGGACUCUCAAAUGACUUGCCGAAAAGAUUAAGUCAAUUUCUCUUUUCUUAUGCAAUACAUUUUGUGUCCAGGCCUUUCUUAUGAGUAUUGUGUGUGGAACAUAAAGCAACCAACUUAGCUCCACGAUUUAGCUAUUGGGAGACCCAUGAAAGAGCCUACCCAGCCCUGCCUGCCUCUGGGGGUCUCGGUCAUGUCAUGUGACUACAUCGCUUGGCUCUGUUUCCAAGUUCCCCACCUCUAACCUCUCUGGAGCUCACAUUCAUCUUUCAAAAACAUCACUUCUGUUAUAUCACCCAUCACUCACUCCCUUCACUACACAUCUCUUUGCCCUGCUUUAGUUUUCAUCUGAGCACUUACUGUUUCCUGACAUUAUGUCAUUCAUUCAUUCAUUCAUUUAUUCAUUUUAUUUGGUUCUAUCUCUCUGUUAGUUUCCUAUUGCUGCAGUAGCAAAUUACCAUAAACUUAGUGGCUGAAAACAGAUUUAUCUUGCAGUUCUUGAGGACAGAAAUCUGAAAUGGGCCUCACUGAGAUAAAGUCACUGUGGCCAGGGCUGCAUUAUUUCUGGAAGCUCCAGGGGACAAUCUGUUUCCUUACCUCUUUCAGCUUCUAGAGGCUGCCCUCAUUUCUUAUUUUGUGGACCCCUUUGAUCUUUAAAGCCAGCAAAGGCAGCUUGAGUCUUUCUCAUGAUGCUGUCUCUCUGGUCUCACUCUUCUGCCUUCCGCUUCCCCAUUCAAGGACUCUUGUGAUUAUAUUGGGCUUGCCUAGAUAAAGCAGGAUAAUCUUAUUUUAAGGUCAGCUGAUUAGCAACUUUAAUUCUAGCUGCAAUUUUAAUUCCCCCUUGCCAUGUAACAACAUAUUUAUAGAUUACAAGGAUUAGGAUGUGGAUGUAUUUUUUUUUUUUUUUUUUGAGACGGUGUCUUGCUCUGUCACCCAGGCUGGAGUGCAGUGGCACAAUCUCGGCUCACUGAAACCUCCACCUCCCGAGUUCAAGCAAUUCUCCUGCCUCAGUCUCCCAAGUAGCUGGGAUUACAGGCAUGCGCCACCAAACCCAGCUAAUUUUUGUAUUUUUAGUAGAGACAGGGUUUCACCAUGUUGGCAGGCUGAUCUUGAACUCCUGACCUUGUGAUCCACCCGCCUCGGCCUCCCAAAGUGCUGGGAUUACAGGCAUGAGCCACCGCACCUGGCCCAGGAUAUGGAUGUCUUUGAGGGGCCAUUUCCUGCUUAGCACAAUCUGCCUCUUAUAGAAUUUAAGUCUCUUGAGAGCAAAACUUUAUCUACUUUGCUCUCUACAGUACAGCCAUUGAUUAGAAGAGGGCCAGUAUAUUGUAAGCAUGCAGUAAAUAUGUUUUGAAUAAAUCAGCAAAUCUUGUCCUUCUUUUUCACAAUCCAUCUCAUACCAAGGCAGAAUAAUUUUCCUUCAUAUCAGCAUGGAUCAUAAUAUACUCUUUGAUAUGGUUUGGCUGUAUUCCCACCCAAAUCUUAUCUUGAAUUGUAGUUCCCAUAAUCCCCAUAUGUCAUGGGAGAGAGCCGGUGGGAGGUAAUGAAUCAUGAGAGAGGUUACCCUCAUGCUGCUGUUCUCAUAAUAGUGAGUGAGUUCUUACAAGAUCUGACGAUUUUAUAAGGGGCUUCCCACCUUUUGCUCUGCACUUCUCUUUCCUGCUGCCAUGUGAAGAAGUACGUGUUUGCUUCCCCUUCUGCCAUGAUUGUAAGUUUCCUGAGGCCUCCCCAGCACUGUGGAACUGUGAGUC
Molecule: long non-coding RNA, 7541 nt
Filed under: Homo sapiens (human)
Lineage: Eukaryota; Metazoa; Chordata; Mammalia; Primates; Hominidae
Description: HSALNT0114587
Source: RNAcentral